Non-coding RNA from Podarcis lilfordi (Lilford's wall lizard), 108 nucleotides. NCBI's taxonomy places the organism in Eukaryota, Metazoa, Chordata, Lepidosauria, Squamata, Lacertidae. The record is from the annotation of a GenBank genome assembly.
CUUCCAGUAGCACCUUAAAGACCAACUAAGUUUGUUAUUGGUAUGUGCAUGCACACAAAAGCUCAUAACAAUAACAAACUUAGUUGGUCUCUAAGGUGCUACUGGAAG